CUACGUGCCAGCAGCCGCGGUAAUACGUAGGUCCCGAGCGUUGUCCGGAUUUAUUGGGCGUAAAGCGAGCGCAGGCGGUUAGAUAAGUCUGAAGUUAAAGGCUGUGGCUUAACCAUAGUACGCUUUGGAAACUGUUUAACUUGAGUGCAAGAGGGGAGAGUGGAAUUCCAUGUGUAGCGGUGAAAUGCGUAGAUAUAUGGAGGAACACCAGUGGCGAAAGCGGCUCUCUGGCUUGUAACUGACGCUGAGGCUCGAAAGCGUGGGGAGCAAACAGGAUUAGAUACCCUGGUAGUCCACGCCGUAAACGAUGAGUGCUAGGUGUUAGACCCUUUCCGGGGUUUAGUGCCGCAGCUAACGCAUUAAGCACUCCGCCUGGGGAGUACGACCGCAAGGUUGAAACUCAAAGGAAUUGACGGGGGCCCGCACAAGCGGAGGAACAUGGGUUUAAUUCGAUGAUACGCGAGGAACCUUACCCGGGCUUGAAC
Molecule: ribosomal RNA, 485 nt
Filed under: uncultured bacterium
Lineage: Bacteria
Description: bacterial SSU rRNA
Rfam family: Bacterial small subunit ribosomal RNA
Source: RNAcentral